CAGAUUUUGUUAUUUUUUAUAAAUAUUACAUUUUAUUCAACUGAUAUUUAUUCACAAACAAUUUUAAUAUUUUAUUUUUUACACUGGAAUGGAAGCCAUAAGAAUUUAGGGCGAGAACUGUUGGUAGAUGUGAAAGCGUACCAACAUAACAUGUCAUGUCAUCAUCAACAAUAAUUCUAAUUCGUCCUUAUCUCUCUAAUUUUUCUAUUUAUCUUAAUCUCCCCAAACCAAACCCUCACUGUUUACCCCGACUCUCUACAUUACUAAUUAAUUAAUUAAUUAAUUUGAUCCCCAACAAAAUUUUGAGUUCCAUUCGAGGUAGUGUACCAAGAUUCCAAGAACUCAAGAUUUGGCAGUUCUUUGGUUUAGAUAAUGAUUGAAAAUUGGGCAUAUAUUGCCCAUAAUAAAACGAGACAAGAAAUAAUUUCCCCUUAAAUCUUCCAUUUUUUCUACUCAUAUUAUUAUGUGUGUGCAACCCUUUUUCGGAGAUCUCUUCCAAGCUUUGACAUCAUUUGUUGACAAUGAGAGAGAGCACGCUUGUUUUCCUUUAUUCAAGGACAUGGUUGUGUACUAGCGUGCUCUCUGUCGUUGUCAUAAGAUGAGUUCAAAGCAAGCUUCUUUCGCUUUUUACAUGAUCAUUCCAUGUUAAGCAGGUGAGUUAAUCACUAAUCCUAUUAUUAAAUUUUGACUCGAUGAUUAUGCUAGUUCCUAUGGAAGAUUUCCAUGUAUACAUUAAAGUUCGGCAAUGAACAUGCGAUAAAAUUUCGGAUACACCUUCUAACGAACUACAUAAAUGAUUUUUUUUAAUUUAAUAUUCUGUUGUUUUAAGACAUUCAAAUGCCAUUUCUAAUUGGAUUUAUGUUUGUCCAUUUGUUAUGUAUGCUAUUCUUUGAUCUACCAUGAUGUUUAGGCUUCCUGCAUUCUUUUCAAGAUUAAGAACCUGUUCGAAACAAUCUUGGUAUGUGAGAAUAGAAGGCUAAAUUCCGCAUUAGAGGUAAAUUUAAUGGCUUUUGAAUUUACAUCUGUCCGUUUUUCUGGAGACUAGACUGUUUAUUGAUUCAUCGGCUAUGUUGUUUUGCCUUUACAUCUCAGCCGGUUUACAAAAUCUCCUUUUCCUCUUUUUAUUAUAUUUAUUUAUUCUCUAUGUUAUUGUUGCCUUAUGAUUGAUUUGCGUGGUAAUUGUCUAAAUAAUUUUUUUUUCUUAUUAAGCAUUCUGUUCAGGUAUGUGAUCAGCUUUAUUUUCAGCUGUAUUUGAUGAUAUAAUCAGUAGAUUGAAAAUUGUAGCAUUAUUACCAUCAUUGCCGCUGCUUGAAUUAGUCCUGAACAUUUUCAAUUACUGUAUGUAGACACCAACAUCAGUAUCUUGAUUCAUGACGUAUUUUCAGUUGAAGAACUUCACAUUUAUUAGUUUACUUUGUUAGAUCAUAAAAUAACCCGGCUUCUAAAUUCUUAAGUUCAUUAGAUGCCUACUUACUUUUAGAUGUAAUCAUGUAACUAAGGAGCUAUUUUUUACUUUGUGAAAAUGCAUCAUUGCAUGCUUUUGCACCGUCAAUUUUUAUUUAAGGAUUUUUUUUAAGGGUAUUAGAGCUGAAAGGCAUGCACUAUUCCGUCGUUUCUUAUUUAACAUUCAUAUGAGAAAUAUGAUAUUCAUAGACUUCAAAUUGAAUUUUCUUUGCAUUUUUAAAGAUGAACUACUAGUAGUAAAUUAAGGAGCGGAAACUGAAACAAGAACAAGAACCUAGAAUCAGCUAUUUUCAUGCACCAAUUUUCUAAUGUUCUUGUUUAGAGAUUCAAACAUAUUUCCGAUUGGUUAAUUCUCGUGUUGGAAACUACAUUUCUACUAAUGUUGCAGUUGUGCUAUUAAUAUUUGGCUUUUUAUUAAUAUCGUUAUCAAGUUAAACACUGUUUCUUCUUUGUUGUUAGUCAGUUUGUUUUUUUAGUUUAGAAGUUUUACUGGUUAGGAGUUGGUCAUAUCAAAAUGAUUUUAUAGUAAAGAUACUGACUGGUUUACCUUGCUUGAAUGAUUAGCACCAUCCUACCAGGUGAGGUUGUUUACUUGGAAUAAAUGUUUUUAAUAUUAUAAUUUCAUGUUUUUAAUUUGACAUUUUGCUGUGUUAUAUAAUGAUUUAUUUUUCUAUCUUUAUCUUUGGUCUGCAUCUGUUUUUUGCUAGAAAUCUAGGAAAAUUGACUAUUGAGUUCAAAUGCUUCUCAAUGCAUCCGAAGAACGGAAGAGAAUGUAAUCAAGUUUUGAUUCUACGAUACAUCUAGCUUCUCCCAGUUCUCUUACUUUCAGCCAUCAUUAUCGGUUUCAUUAGCUAUAGCUCUUCAUUCAUAUCUUCAAUAUUUAUUUAUCGGUGUCAUUAUUUCUUUGAUGAAUAGUAGUCUUAUUGGUUAUGUGCAAUUAUGAGAGCAAGUUUUUGGAACCGUAAUUAAUGGAUGUUUUAGUCCUGUACGUGACGAACUAGGUUCCAUCUUAAAAUUUCUCGUAUUUAGGUUUUACCAUUUUUAAAAUGGGGAAAUGCUCUUUUGGAGAUUACUGGUGAAACAGAAGUGUAAAUUUUGCUGUGUAUAUAUCUCAUCAGGUUUAUAAUUUAUAAUUUUUAUAUCUAUCU
Mercurialis annua (annual mercury) is the source of this 2612-nucleotide long non-coding RNA. RefSeq lists it as uncharacterized. NCBI's taxonomy places the organism in Eukaryota, Viridiplantae, Streptophyta, Magnoliopsida, Malpighiales, Euphorbiaceae. The record is from RefSeq and is a predicted model, not a curated record. The transcript has 2 exons.